RNAcentral lists this ribosomal RNA (892 nucleotides) under Nesterenkonia sp. HL76. RNAcentral describes it as "bacterial SSU rRNA". It matches the Rfam family "Bacterial small subunit ribosomal RNA", at positions 32 to 926 of the family's 1533-position model. The record is from RNAcentral. Lineage: Bacteria; Bacillati; Actinomycetota; Actinomycetes; Micrococcales; Micrococcaceae.
GCCGCAAUAGCCGGCCUGCUUUACACAUGCAAGUCGAACGAUGAAGACCGUGCUUGCACGGUUGGAUUAGUGGCGAACGGGUGAGUAUCACGUGAGUAACCUUCCCUUGACUCUGGGAUAAGCCCGGGAAACUGGGUCUAAUACCGGAUACGACCAGUCCUCGCAUGGGGUGCUGGUGGAAAGAUUUAUCGGUCUUGGAUGGACUCGCGGCCUAUCAGCUUGUUGGUGAGGUAAUAGCUCACCAAGGCGAUGACGGGUAGCCGGCCUGAGAGGGUGACCGGCCACACUGGGACUGAGACACGGCCCAGACUCCUACGGGAGGCAGCAGUGGGGAAUAUUGCACAAUGGGCGAAAGCCUGAUGCAGCGACGCCGCGUGCGGGAUGACGGCCUUCGGGUUGUAAACCGCUUUCAGCAGGGAAGAAGCGCAAGUGACGGUACCUGCAGAAGAAGCGCCGGCUAACUACGUGCCAGCAGCCGCGGUAAUACGUAGGGCGCGAGCGUUAUCCGGAAUUAUUGGGCGUAAAGAGCUCGUAGGCGGUUUGUCACGUCUGCUGUGAAAGCCCGGGGCUCAACCUCGGGUGUGCAGUGGGUACGGGCAGACUAGAGUGCAGUAGGGGAGACUGGAAUUCCUGGUGUAGCGGUGAAAUGCGCAGAUAUCAGGAGGAACACCGAAUGGCGAAGGCAGGUCUCUGGGCUGUUACUGACGCUGAGGAGCGAAAGCAUGGGGAGCGAACAGGAUUAGAUACCCUGGUAGUCCAUGCCGUAAACGUUGGGGCACUAGGUGUGGGGGACAUUCCACGUUUUCCGCGCCGUAGCUAACGCAUUAAGUGCCCCGCCUGGGGAGUACGGCCGCAAGGCUUAAAACUCAAAGGAAUUGACGGGGGCCCGCAC